GCUACAAUGUCAGUGUUCAUGGGAGUUAAAUAUAUUAUUGACUCAUGAUGUUUCAUCUUAUGAUCCAUUUAUUGAGACAGUGACCCCAUAGUUAAGUCAAGGAGCUGUGAAUACAUCCUGCCUACAAAAAAGAGAUCCUUGUAUUAGCUCCACUGCUCAGCUGGGUAAACUGAGGCUCCAAGAUGGAAGGGAAGAAAUGUGUCCACAGGAAGAAACAAUCAGAACCAAGACUUGAGCCCAGGGCGGAGUCACCACCAGGAAGAGCUGCACCUAAUAGGACAGACUACCUCCAGAUGAAGUCAGUUGUCCAGGAGAUGACAACCCCAGACAGAAGUCAUCGACACCGUCUGAGGGAAACUGAGGCUGAGUGAAGCAGGUUGCUAAAGCCUGGGCUCUUGGUCAUGGCGCCACUGGAGUUUGGGUUCCUUUGUUUGAA
This is a long non-coding RNA of Mesocricetus auratus (golden hamster), 436 nucleotides long. RefSeq lists it as uncharacterized. The record is from RefSeq and is a predicted model, not a curated record. The transcript is spliced from 3 exons. NCBI's taxonomy places the organism in Eukaryota, Metazoa, Chordata, Mammalia, Rodentia, Cricetidae.